GAAUACUCAUCCUUCACAAAAUGUCCCAUUUCAACUGAAUAGUGAAUCCUAGUUAGAUGUGGUGAUGCACUUUUGUUAAUUAUAGAAGAAGCCACCAUGCUUAUUUAUUGAUUAACACCCUUUCAUAUCAAAGGUAGAGACAGGAAACCUGGGGAUCCAGAAAAUUCUAGACAUAUCAACUAAUUUAUAGAAAGACAUAUUUUGGAUGUUAUGGGAGGCAGUGAUUUUGUUUGUUUGUUUGCUAGCUUGCUUGCUUGUUGGUUUUUCAAGACAGGGUUUCUCUGUGUAGCUCUGGCUGUCCUGAAAUUUACUCUGUAGACCAGGCUGGCCUCAAAUUCACAGAGAUCAGCCUUCCUGUUGGGAUUAAAGGUAUGCACCACCACUGCCUGCCAGUAACCUACUUGCUAUCUAUAAAGCCAUGAAAACAUCCCCCAUGCGUUUCUGAAGAUCAGGUGUUGCCUGGUCCUCACUUAGCUUCAUUCGUACAACAGGCUGUGUGGAAUCCUUUUAUUUUCUCUCUUAUUAUGUUUCUAACUCCAUCUCCUUGUUCUUCAAGAUGUGGAACUCAGCACAUUCAGAUUCUCCAGAUUCUUCAAACCUUGCUCUCUCUGAAGAUGAAACCCUAGUGAUUCUUUCAUUGUUCUUUUAAAAGCAUUUCUAAAGAGUUUUCUUAAAGAAAAUAAAUGACUGCCUAGAGGUCCCCAAAGUCAACUUACAUGCAUUUAAUCUAUCUUAAGCAAUGAAAACCUUACACACAGGCUAGAUAUCUCGAUAAGACAAUGGAACAUAAAUGAUAUUCUGUAGAAUGCUUUAACCACUAUAUCCCCAGCAAUUCUAGCUGCCUCACCAUCCAGUUACUACGUUCUGAUUAGAUAGAUGAUAGAUAGAUAGAUAGAUAGAUAGAUAGAUAGAUAGAUAGAUAGAUAGAUACUGUUUGGCCCAAUUUGAGUUGAAUUUGCUAACCAGCCUUUCCUUUUCUUUCUUCUUCUUCCUCUCCUCCUCCUCUUCUACCUCUUUGUUCUCCUCUUUCUCCUCCUCUUCAUCCUUUUUCUUGGCUAAAGAAAAGUGCUACUGUGUCAGACUAAACCAUCUUUUCUUAAGAUAGGAUAGCAAUAUCUAGAGACAUUAUGGAAAUAGUCUAGUCCCUGACAUAAAAUUUACAUGAAAUAUGUUCAUACAAAUAUUAUAACUAUGUAAUCUACAGUUGCUGCUAUAGGUUUCUGAACAAUGCAUGUUCUAAACAACAAUCUCUGAACCAAAUAUGCUCCACAGCUGUAAAAAAAAAUAUUCUUUUCAUUAAAAUAAAAAAUUAAUAUCACUAAAAUUCAAAACCUAUUUUUACUUCAAGUAGCUUCAUCAUUAUAUUGCACAAUACAUCCAAUCAAAUUAAUGGGUGAUUAUAACAUUAAAAAGUAUUUCAUUAUUUAUCAAAUUAUAUAUCUCCAGAUUUUUCACUGCAAUUAAUUUCCAAUAGUUUCAAAAUUGUCUUCUCCAUAAUUUAAAUAUUAUAUUAUGGAAUAUUCAUGUUGAAUUCAUUUGUAAACAUCUAUAAUUUAUGAAAUAUAAUUUAGUUACAUUUUGGUAUUACAGAAAAGCUUGCUAUAAUAAAGUAAUUUCAAUUUUAAUAUAAAAUUUUGGAAUUUUUCUCAUUUUGAUGAAUGUGUAUGUAUAUAAUAUGCUUAUGGGCAAGACAGACAUGCUGCAAACAUGAAUGUGCAAAUCAGAAAGCAGAUUGUAGCAUCUAUAAUCUUCUGCCCUUGUGUAGAUACUGUAGAUUGAACUCUGGUGUCCAACAAGUUCUUAUAUUGGCUGAGUUAACUUGAAGACCCAUAAUGCACUAUUUUUAAAGACAGAGAUCAUCUUACUUAAAUUAUUACCCUUGUUGAAAAUGACAUGAAGUCUUUGAGUCUAAGAAGUGUCAGCUGCACCCUCCUUAUGCCAAAUGCAGAAUGAUUACCUGUGAACUCAUCAAU
This 1973-nucleotide long non-coding RNA is filed under the name Mus musculus (house mouse). RNAcentral's name for it is "long non-coding RNA chr15:20584780-20586753". The record is from RNAcentral. Lineage: Eukaryota; Metazoa; Chordata; Mammalia; Rodentia; Muridae.